GGCUACGUAGCUCAGUUGGUUAGAGCACAUCACUCGCAAUAGAGAGUAAGGUCACGGGGUUCGAAUCCCGUCGUAGCCACCA
Molecule: transfer RNA, 82 nt
Filed under: Escherichia coli
Lineage: Bacteria; Pseudomonadati; Pseudomonadota; Gammaproteobacteria; Enterobacterales; Enterobacteriaceae
Description: tRNA-Ala
Rfam family: tRNA
About the family: Transfer RNA (tRNA) molecules are approximately 80 nucleotides in length.
Source: RNAcentral